RNAcentral lists this unclassified non-coding RNA (253 nucleotides) under uncultured Chitinophagales bacterium. RNAcentral's name for it is "contains 16S-23S intergenic spacer region". It matches the Rfam family "Bacterial small subunit ribosomal RNA", at positions 524 to 776 of the family's 1533-position model. The record is from RNAcentral. Lineage: Bacteria; Pseudomonadati; Bacteroidota; Chitinophagia; Chitinophagales.
UACGGAGGGUGCGAGCGUUAAUCGGAAUUACUGGGCGUAAAGGGUGCGUAGGCGGAUUAUUAAGUCCGUGGUGAAAUCUUUGGGCUCAACCCAAAAAUUGCCAUUGAUACUAUUAGUCUUGAAUGUAGUUGAGGUGGGCGGAAUGAGUCAUGUAGCGGUGAAAUGCUUAGAUAUGACUCAGAACACCAAUUGCGAAGGCAGCUCACUAAACUAAUAUUGACGCUGAGGCACGAAAGCGUGGGGAGCAAACAGG